UAAUGUGAUCGUCUCUCGCAUAUCAAUAAGCGGAGGAAAAGAAACUAACAAGGAUUCCCUUAGUAACGGCGAGUGAAGCGGGAAGAGCUCAAAUUUGAAAUCUUCAAGGUUUUACCUUGACGAAUUGUAGUUUAAAGAAGUGUUUUCUGUUGAAGUUUUGGUAAAAGUUCUUUGGAAUAGGACAUCAUAGAGGGUGAGAAUCCCGUAUUUGACCAUUAUUUUCAGCUGUGUGAUACACUUUCAAAGAGUCGGAUUGUUUGGGAAUGCAGUCCAAAAUGGGUGGUAAAUUUCAUCUAAAGCUAAAUAUUGGCGAGAGACCGAUAGCGAACAAGUACCGUGAGGGAAAGAUGAAAAGAACUUUGAAAAGAGAGUUAAACAGUACGUGAAAUUGUCAAAAGGGAAGCGUUUGACACCAGUGUUGUUUUCUCGAAAAUCAAUUAAAAAGAGUUAGAUUUUGUUGUGUAUUGACCUUAACAGCUUGCAUUUCAAUUUUCUUGCUUUUUUUAAUGCACUUUUCGUUUAACAAGUCAACAUCAGUUUCUUUUGUUGUAAAAAGGUCAUUGGAAGGUGGCUUUCUUUUCGGAGAAAGUGUUUAUAGCCUUUGACUCCUGCAAUCGGAGAGACUGAGGUCUGCAGCGUAGAUCCUUCGGGGUUAGAUACAUUUGUGCUAAGUUAUAGCUUUUUAUAGACAACUUGUUGACUAUGAUUAGUCUUGUAGCUUACUCGCUUAUGCUAUUUUACCUACGCUUAGGAUGUUGAAGAUGUAGCACAUCAU
This 775-nucleotide ribosomal RNA is filed under the name uncultured Neocallimastigales. RNAcentral's name for it is "partial large subunit ribosomal RNA". It matches the Rfam family "Eukaryotic large subunit ribosomal RNA", at positions 24 to 620 of the family's 3401-position model. Lineage: Eukaryota; Fungi; Neocallimastigomycota; Neocallimastigomycetes; Neocallimastigales. The record is from RNAcentral.